CCCUACAACCCGGACUACCAGGACGAGUCCGUGCUGUGGACGGAGAGCCGCGACGUCGGCAACGGCUUCCGCUGCGUGCGCAUGGUGAACAACAUCUACCUCAACUUCGACGCGUUCCACGGCGACAAGGCACACGGCGGCGUCCACGACGGCACCGAGAUCGUGCUCUGGAAGUGGUGCGAGGGCGACAACCAGCGCUGGAAGAUCCUCCCCUGGUGUAAGUAGUGUCCCCCCUUUGCCCUGCAUAUGCCUGAUCAAUGGCCAUGGUCUUCGCCGAACUGUACAACCAUGCCAUUGAUGGCCUGCCUUACAUCCUUUGAAAUCUGAUGUUUUCCAAUCGUUGCUUGCGUUUGCAGAGAUGGUGACGGAGGAACUUUCUGGAUUGAAAGGAGCUGCUACCUUACCUGCCUAAUAAGAACAGAAGAGAUUUCUGCAAUAAAACCGUGUGCCAUGUUUCAGAGUGGUAUUUGCGUCAGACCGUCAGUCACGGUGUGACUAGCUAGUGGCCUGUCCCUUUUGUGAGCCUGGUCUUACCAUGUGAGGAGUAGUAGGCAGGGCAUUGUGAUGUAGUAAUCCUUGUGGCUACCCUUCUUUCGAUUUCCGGCGCCUGCACUCCGAACUAUGUAUCGUCGUCUCAUUUGUCAUCUGUUCAUCUACUUUCUUCUACUGAAUGGAUGAUCUCGCUUUGCUUACAUGCAUCUGAAUUCUGCUGUACCAACGUUUGUGCUCGUCAAAUCACUCGAGGGGGAAUCGUGUGAGCCAUCCAGCGAGCCGGCGAGACCCAAAAAACAACAAAAGGAACACAACAAAGUGACAAACUACGACUCAAACUGGGCCUUGGUGUUCUUUUGAGCUGAAAGUUGAGCCUUCGUGUUGGAAUCACCAAGUAGAGGGAGAAGCUGGCUGGUUAUAGAGCUGGGCUAAAUCAGGCCCAAUCAAACCGAGUUAUCGGGAAUCGAAUCGAAUAAGGGGUUUUUUCUGCUCCAGCUUUUUAGUUCAAUUUCAGAGAAUCAGUUCACGGAAUCAUCGUAAAAUUAUUUCUCUUAGAGAAACUGUUUAGCAGAGGUUGUUCUGGAUUCAGUCUAGAAGCUGCUCUGAGAGCUCUACCAAACAGGCGUCAACGGCGAGACUGCGAGUCUGUGACACUCGAAUUUUUUGCUCUCCACAGCUCCAUCUGCAAACCACAGCCCAUUCAUCUGCCUGUACAUAGUGAAAAAAAACAGUGUUGCGCAGUUCUCGCUCAUGCCCUUAGUCCUAGUUUGCCUACUCUAUCAAUUCAAUGAUACAUAGCUUUGUUGCUGCUCAGUAGCCUGUUCUUCACAAAUAUCACUCCCGCUAUGUCGUUUGAGAUAUCUGAAAUUUCAUCGAAAAUACUAACUCAAUUUUUAAAUGAACUUUUCAUGAAUAUGUACAAGCAAAUUAGGACGAAAUUAAAAUUCGUACAUUCCAAUAAUUGGGGAAAAUAUAUAUUAUGCCCAGCCCGUGCGUUGCAUGUGUAUGAGCAUCUCGUCCAUACUAUGUUUUUUUUUAAAAAAAAGGAAGAAAAAUCCAUGCGUUUUCAGGUCAAGCAUUUUAAUUGAACGGGCUUUCUUGUUUCCAGAGGAGAGGGAGAGCUAGGAGGCCCUCAUCAUGCUGGGCCAGUAUUUCAUGCAAUGCGAGAGAGAAGAAAGAGAACUGGGGACUUGGUUGGGCCUUCUGACGCGACCUUGGCCUGGUCCAUUUCGACACCUUGUUCACUUCACAUUCCUGAUGCAAAACUAGUGCAAAUGUACGCAGAGUGCAGAUGACAGCAAACCAUGGUAGCAACAUUUGCAGCAUCGAGAAGGUCCGGAAGCCAGAACAAAUUAAAGUCGAUAACGAUUCGUGUUCAUCAUCAACGGAAAAGGACGCUCGCAAAUCCAUAUUCGAAUUCGCUGCUUAAUUAAUUCGCUGUCCGUUCGUUUUUCUGCAUCACGUUUUCAUCUUCUGCUUGACCACAAAGCAUUCGGCAUUCAGCGGUGCAAGAUUCUCCGGCUGCCUGCCUCCUCGUGGACGCCAUAACUUUUCUUCUAUCUUGGCCGGCAAUAAUGGCCACCAGCUAGCGCAACGAUAGAUGUUAUUCUUCCCAAAACGUCUAGAAAAUGGAAUCACGCAAAGCCGCUGGGUACCCCUCGAUCGGCUAGCUAGUGGCGCAUCCAUCCAUCCUUGCUGCCCAUGCACGCGCCCUAGCUCCCAUCCAUAGAUGCAGAUCACCACCGAUCACCUGGCUGCUACCACCGCGCCGCCCCCCUAUAAAUCCCCCGUGUGCCCCCGCCGCCAUGCUGCAUUGCCGCGUCAGAAUCAGAGCUCAGAGGAAUUAAGGAAGAACCACCACAACCUGCUACCACCAGGUACUUAGCAUACUAGCUAGCAGCAUGGACGUGUACGGGCGUGAGCGCUACGGGGGGUACGGAUACGGCGGCCUGGCUACGCCCGGGUACGCGCCGCCGGUUCCGUACGGCAUGUCGCAGGUGAACAUCGAGGGCCACGGGUGCGGCCGUCCGCUUCCGCCGCAGCCGACGGUGAAGGUGUACUGCCGCGCCAACCCCAACUACGCCAUGACGAUCCGCAACGGCAGGGUGGUGCUGGCGCCGGCGAACCCCAAGGACGAGUACCAGCACUGGAUCAAGGACAUGCGGUGGAGCACGAGCAUCAAGGACGAGGAGGGGUACCCGGCGUUCGCGCUGGUGAACAAGGCCACCGGGGAGGCCAUCAAGCACUCCCUGGGGCAGUCCCACCCGGUGCGCCUGGUGCCCUACAACCCCGACUUCCUGGACGAGUCGGUGCUCUGGACGGAGAGCCGCGACGUCGGCAACGGCUUCCGCUGCGUCCGCAUGGUCAACAACAUCUACCUCAACUUCGACGCCCUCCACGGCGACAAGUGGCACGGCGGCGUCCGCGACGGAACCGAGAUCGUGCUCUGGAAGUGGUGCGAGGGAGACAACCAGCGAU
This 2970-nucleotide long non-coding RNA is filed under the name Panicum hallii. RNAcentral describes it as "long non-coding RNA (PHAL_LNC000234)". Lineage: Eukaryota; Viridiplantae; Streptophyta; Magnoliopsida; Poales; Poaceae. The record is from RNAcentral.